Silurus meridionalis is the source of this 8106-nucleotide RNA transcript. It is a transcript of the gene named alpha-tectorin-like, with no coding region annotated. The record is from RefSeq and is a predicted model, not a curated record. Lineage: Eukaryota; Metazoa; Chordata; Actinopteri; Siluriformes; Siluridae. The transcript is spliced from 33 exons.
AUGAUGCUGAGUAAAAGGAAAUUGCUGCAGAAGGUACAUGUAGAUUCGGGGAGUGAUCAGUAAUCACACAGAGAGAAAGAGAGAGAGAGAGUAAAUCUUUCUGAGGUUGCUCUGCAGUAGCUUCUCAGUUAUACACAAUGAUGCGUCUGAUUCCACUGUGUGUGCUGAUCAUCCAUGUGGUACUAACCACAGGACAAACAACAGUGGGGCAAACGUUCAACCAAACAGCAGGACAACCUUUGAGCCAAACAACAGCAGGACCUUUAAACCAAACAACAGUGGGGCAAACAUUCAACCAAACAGUGGGGCAAACGUUCACCCAAACAGGACCUCUGAGCCAACCAACAGGACCCUUCUACCCAUUUGGAACUGGAGACAUAGUAAAUGGCCGGAUAGAUGAUGGAAGUUCAUCUGUUAUCACUCUUCAGCAACCAUUUAUAUAUUUUGGAACCACAUACAACCAAAUUUUUGUAAACAACAAUGGACACUUAACCUUUAAUCAAGCUUUGAGCAGUUUCACUCCUUACCGAUUCCCGGCACAGGGUGGACUAGACUUAAUUGCUCCAUUUUGGACUGACCUUAAUAACAAUUUAAAUGGUGUCAUCUCAUACAAUCAGUUCACUUCUGGCAAUGUUCUCACUCAAGCUACUCGAGACAUCAGUCGCUAUUUCCCUCAGCUGAGUUUCACUGCUACAUUGGUUUUUGUUGCAACAUGGGAUCGAGUGGCAUAUUUUUCAUCUACUGGCACGGAAACAUCUUUCCAAGUAGUUUUGAUUUCCAAUGGCCAUUUUUCCUUCAUUUUGAUGAACUAUGGUGUGAUUGCUCCAACAACCCAGAACGUGCAGGCGGGUUAUGACACAGCUGACUCCAGCAACUUUUUCUCAAUUCCUGGGUCAUUUCAUUACAACUACACAAGUUUUUCCUACAGCAGCAAUGUGAAUGUCCCAGGACGAUGGGCUUUUCGUGUAGAUCAUGGAUCACAAACCUGUCAGUUUAAUGGUAUCAUAGUGCCACAAGGUACUGUAUUCUGGACAGAUAACUCUUGCCAGCAGAAAUGCACUUGCACUCGGUCGGGUCUCCGGUGCGUCUCAGAGCCAUGUACAUUUUCUCAAGCUUGCCGUCCGGCUGCUUUCCAGUAUAGCUGCCAAAACGUACAACGCCGAACCUGCACUAUUUCUGGUGAUCCGCACUACUACACCUUUGAUAAUCAAAUCUUCCACUUUCAAGGAACCUGCACAUACAUCUUGUCUGAGGCCUGUGGCAGCGGCUUGCCAUACUACCGCAUUGAAGGAAAAAACGAGCAUCGGAGUAGUACACAUGUGUCAUGGACACGCCUGGUCAGGGUAUUUGUGUAUGAGGAGCAACUGGAAUUAGUAAAAGAUCAUCCAUAUGAGGCCAAGGUGAAUGGAACCUUUGCAGCAACACCAUUCAGCCUGAACAAUGGCUCUAUCCAAGUCUACCGGUCAGGUUUUUCAAUUGUAAUCAGUACAGCAUUUGGAUUGGUUGUUACAUAUGAUGCGUAUUCCUAUGUAACCAUCAAUGUACCUUAUGAAUAUCAAAAUUCCACAUGUGGACUGUGUGGUAACUUUAACCACCAACCAGCAGAUGACUAUAUUUCACCUUCAGGAGUAAUCCUGGGCUCAGACUUGGAAUUUGGAAAUUCCUGGAAGGUACAGGGAGACACAGAUCCCAGCUGCGAUUAUAUUCAGUGCUCAGGUCUUGCAUGUGCAGGUUGUACCACAUACCAGAGUAGCCUUUACAGUAACUCAGACCACUGUGGUAUCUUGGCAGCUGCCAGUGGCCCCUUUGCAAAUUGCCACUCCACUCUGUCACCACAGAAUUUUCUAGACAGCUGUGUCUAUGAUCUAUGUGUGGGAGGUGGAUACCAACCAAUUCUUUGUCAAGCAAUCAGUGUUUAUGCUACUCAGUGCCAACAGCGAGGCAUACAGCUGGGUCAAUGGAGAAGAACGGGAUUCUGUGAAAUACCAUGUCCAGAGCACAGUCACUAUGAGUUCCAGGGAACAAGCUGCCCAGCAACGUGCAGUAACCCCUUUUCACCUUUAAACUGCACCUUACCAAACCAGGAAAGCUGUAUCUGUGAUGCAGGCUAUGUCUUAAGCCGUGGUGAAUGUGUUCCUCAAAGUAACUGUGGCUGCACUUUUGAAGGACUUUACUAUGCUGAUGGUCAAUCAGUGGUAUUGGACAAUGAGUGUGGUAGGAUAUGUACCUGUAGAAACAGUGUAAUGACCUGUCAACAUCAUCAGUGUGGUUCACAAGAGGUGUGUACCAUCAAUAAUGGUGUAAGAGGCUGCAGACCUACCAGUUAUUCCACCUGUUGGGUUGACCGAAUAGGCUCAUAUCACACCUUUGAUGGGGUGGCUUUCACUUAUCCAGGAGCCUGUGAACUCACACUCACAAGAGUUAUAGGAUCUUCCACAAGACCUCAUUUUUCAGUUAACCUGCAAAGAGUCCCCAUGGGCCCCGUUGGCUUUUCUAAGAUCCUGAAGUUUGAGGCAGAGGGAUUUCAGAUUUCUAUAGACAUUGCGGAAGGUGGAAAUAUCCAGGUUGAUGGACACCUGGUUGCUCUACCAUACAGUGUUGGUGCUGGUCAAAUCCGUAUCUACCAUGGCAGUGUAGAUAGUAUAAUUAUGGAAACAUCAUUUGGGGUAACUGUGAGAUCCGAUUGGUCACAUCUAAUUAGAAUUACAGCACCCAACACCUACAGUGGGGCACUUGCUGGUCUGUGUGGAAAUUACAAUAGAAACCAAGGAGAUGAGUUUUACAGCCCAGAUGGAGUUUUGUUAAACAAUACACAGGAGUUUGGGAAUAGCUGGAGAAAUGGUUCUCUUUCAACCUUCUGCAUAGGAUCAGAGGUCAUCUCACCAGGAAACAACAGCAGCGAGUUCAUAGAGUACUGUAGCAUCAUAACCUCUACAAAUGGGCCGUUUGCUCAGUGCCACGGCAGCCUGGACCCUCAGAUUUGGUUAGAACACUGCAGACACAAUUUGCAACAGACACAUGGUGCCAGAGAGGCCAUGUGUGAGGCUCUAAGAGACUACGCUGUACUUUGCCAGCAAAAUGGUAUCAGUGUGGGAGAAUGGAGAAAUAUAACCAACUGUGAUUCCCCAUGCCCAGCCCACAGCCACUAUGAGCUUUGUGGCACUUCCUGUCCUGCAGCCUGUCCAAGUCUGUCUUUUCCAUUCCCUUGUACCCAACAUUGCCAGGAAGGUUGCCAGUGUGAUAAUGGGCUACUGCUAAGUGGAGAUCAGUGUGUUCCUCCUACAGACUGUGGCUGUUUUCAUGAAGGUCGGUACAGACAGAGUGGAGAGCAGUUCUGGUCUGGUGAGCAGUGCCUGUUACACUGUGUAUGUGAUGGGACAUCAGGUAUUGUUCGCUGUACUCCUGCCUCUUGCCAAGAGCAGGAAAUAUGCCGUGUCAUGGACGGAGAAUAUGGCUGCCAUGCUCAACCCAGUGCCACAUGCUCAGCUUCAGGGGACCCCCACUACAGCACAUUUGAUGGACAUAGAUUUGACUUUCAGGGCACAUGCCACUAUACACUGGCAACUGUAUGUAAUGAUACUCGAGGGCUACCAUAUUUUCAUGUCACUGCACGAAAUGAAGCAUGGAAUGGCGGCUCAGUGUCAAUCACUGUUGAAGUUUAUGUCAAUGUGUCAGGACACCUGGUGCACAUUUCACGCGACAUGUAUGGCACAGCUGAGAUUGACAGUGAAACCAGAAAUCUUCCUGCCCUGCUCGACUCUGGCCGUGUGUUGGUUUAUUUCAGUGGAAGAAACACAUUUAUUACAACUGACUUUGGUCUAAGUGUGAGUUAUGGCUCUUGGAUGGUGCAAAUCACCGCUCCAGGGAAUUACAGUGGAGCCACAUGUGGCCUUUGCGGUAACUUCAAUGGUGACAGCAGUGAUGAUUUCCGUUUGCGUUCUGGUACGCUGACUUCUUCUGCUUCAGAGUUUGGAGCUGACUGGAAAGAGGGCAACGACACAACAUGUAAUCACGGAUGUGGAGACGCCUGCUCACAGUGUCCAAACCCAUCUAGAGCACAGUCUCUGUGUGCAAUCAUAAUGGACAAUCAGGGUCCUCUGAGUUUCUGUCAUGCAUAUGUUGAUCCUCUUGUCUAUUUUAACGACUGUGUCUUUGACCUGUGCCUCUCUCAACACUCGAAUGAUGUACUGUGCCGUUCCAUUGAAACAUAUGUCAGUGCCUGCCAGUCUGCCAACAUCAGGAUUUAUCCCUGGAGAGAAAAUACAACAUGUCGUAUAUUCUGUCCUACAAACAGUCACUAUGAGCUGUGUGGCUCAGACUGUGGACACACCUGUACCAGCAUUAUAAAUGACACAUGUGAGGGGACAUGCAGAGAGGGCUGUUUCUGUGAUGAUGGCUUUGUAAGGAGUGGAGGAAACUGUAUGCCUGUAGAGCAAUGUGGUUGCUCACACAAUGGAUUCUACUUCCAGAUCGAUGAUGAGUUCUGGACUGAACGAUGUUUACAACACUGUAAAUGCUUUGGUCUCAAUGAUCUGCACUGCAUUUCUGCCUCCUGCACUCCCACUGAGGAGUGCGUGGUUAAGAAUGGUAGACUCGGCUGCUACAGCCAAAUGUCAACAUGCAUGGUCUCGGGAGAUCCCCAUUAUUAUACCUUUGAUGGAGCUGUGGCUCACUUUCAGGGCACUUGUUCAUAUGAGAUUUCUCAGACAUGUGGAAAUGUCCAUCAUGAUGGUCUACAAUUCCGUCUGGUGGCAACCAACAUGCAUCGUGGGAGCAGAGCAGUUUCCUUUGUAUCUGCAGUGGACAUUUGGCUAAAUAAACAAGAAACACAAACACAAAUUACAAUUGGACAAAACAAGAGAGUAAAGGUUAAUGGAGUUGAAGUGGAUUCAUCUGCUUAUCACAUCAAUAAUCUUGCAGAAAUAUAUCAGGAGCAGAAUUUUAUAGUUGUAAAUGCUUCACAUGAGCUCAUGGUCUACUACGAUGGCCGUUAUACACUUUUGGUCAGGCUGGGUCCAAGCUUCCAUGGAUCUGUGUGUGGAAUGUGUGGGAACAAUAAUGGAGAUCCUACAGAUGACAAGACCCUGCCGAAUGGAGAACUUGCACCCAAUGAUGUUGUUUUUGGCAACAGCUGGAAAUCAAACAUCAGUAGUGCAAGAUGUGGUGUUAAUGACCAGCCUGUUGAUCCUAAUGACUGCGCCUUCAGAGAGGAGUACUCUAGACUCUGCAGCAUCAUCACCAACACCAGUGGACCAUUUCAGCACUGCCAGUUCCGUAUCAACCCUGAAUCCUACUUCAGUUCCUGUGUGUAUGACAUGUGUGCUUACCCACAGGCAUGGGGACAAGACAUACUCUGUUCAGCUGUGGAGGCCUAUGAUGCUGCUUGCACCACACUGGAGCUCCAGAUCCCAGACUGGCGCUCUGAUUUAUCUUGCUCAAGAAUGGAUCCCUGUGAGAAUCUGAACUGUACUGCAGAUGAGUGGUGUGGGGAGAAAGAUGGCAUCUAUGGCUGCUUCUGUAAUGAAAAUGAUCCCAGACCAAACCCUGAUCAUUAUGAUGCUACUGAAAUGUGUGAAAGCAGCUCUGGCACCAUGUCUCUGUCCCGCUGUCAGCUGUUUGAAGCUGGUUUUCCUGUGAGUAACCUCCACUUAAAUGACCCGAGCUGCAAAGGAACAGUUCAUGAUGGCAGACUGGUGUUCCACUUUGACAAUGAUGAACACAUCUGUGGCACAAAUCUUACGGCCAAUGGAACCUAUUUUAUUUAUGAGAACCGAAUCCAAGGGGAAGUAGACUCUCCAGAAGGCCCUAUUCACAGAGCGAAAAGACUGGAACUUUAUUUCUCCUGCAUGUACCAGCUCACUCAGACAUCUAGCAUAGAUACUGAGCUAAAUUCUGUUCAGAGCAUUGUGCACAAGGAUCUUCCAGAUGGAAAGGGCAUGUACCAGGUCAGGAUGAUACCCUUUGAAGAUGCUGGCUUUUCACACCGGUACACCGGCAGGGUGAAUAUAGAGGUGGGCCAACAAAUCUACAUAGGAGUCUUUGUUCAAGGAGUGGACAGCCAUCAGAUUGCCACAGUGAUAGAUUCAUGUUGGGCCACACCUGUAAAAGAAGCAAAUUACACUGUCCGCUGGGACCUGAUUAAUCACAAGUGUCCUAAUGCAAUUGAUGGCACAGUGAAGAUGAUUGAGAACGGUGUCUCCACAACUGGACGAUUCUCCUUCAAGAUGUUUUCGUUUCAUAAUGACGAAUCCAAGGUUUUCCUUCACUGCAGCAUUCACCUUUGCCUUCUGAGAAACAACAACUGUGCAGUGCGCUGUUUCAGUGGACAUCACCAUCGUUCAAGCAGAUCUGUGGACGUCCAUGAUAGGGCCUUAAUUUCCAUUGGGCCUUUUAUCUGGUCCACUAAACGAUAAGAGGCGUGCAAGCCCACGAGGAAACGAAAAGGCCUUUAAUUGAUUUCUUGGGCAUCUAGGAAGAAAAACCCUGCAGCUGCUGGGGAUGUAGAGGGACAAAUAAAACCAACUGCGAGUUCUUCCUCUAUGUAUUAUUUUACUGCCUUGGUUUCAGGCAUGAAAAGGGGAAUACCCAGCACUGGGGUGGGGUCAUGUUGUAUGUAACUUAAUGAAACAGUCCCAAGGUUGAUGAAAAGUUAGAAUGGUGGCUCUGUACCUAAUAAAACCCUUAAACAUGCUAUUCUUUAUACAUGUUGGUGGGCACGGUGGGCAUUGGACUUCUACAGAUGUCAAACGACAGAGUAGUUGAAUCUGAUUGUCUUUAUAGUGUUCAAGCAGGUUGGGGAUGGUUAAUUUAAUUUCUUUUGAUGUCAGGAGAUCACUGGAUUAUGGGAUUGAAACCAGGGAAACCCUAGGAUAAUGGAAUUGGUUGGUGAGGAGAUGACAUUAGUUUUUUUGAUAUGAAAUAGUCUCACACCAAUAGUCACUAGGGAGGUUUGUUUAGUUAUGUAGCCUUCGUCAUCCACCGCUGUGAUCCUCUAGAGCACAAUGCAAGGGACUGUGGGGAUCUUGAGUUCUUCAACCACAUGACAGAUGGUGGACCCAUGGUGGAGUCUAUGAGAGCUGAGAAGACCUGGGUUCCAUUAGCACCAUUCACUUGUGCCAGUAAUAAGAGACUGGAAAGACCAGGGGUAGGGCUCACUUCAAGUUCUCAUGGAUGGCCCUGGUUCCAUAAAUCCAUGUACUGGGAUAAGAAGGUGUUCUGCACUGUAAAUUACAUCCUGCCAUCUAGCAUCCUUUCCGGUUAGCAAGGUUAGCAUAUGUGUGCAUUUAGCAGUUUUCUUGCCAAAGGCUUCAGGUUGAUGGGAGACGUAGACCUUUCAUUGUCUAAGAAAUCCACAACAGCAGCCUGCAGAACCAUCAAAUUUGUCAGGUAGAGUCAUUUUAGGUUAUUUGGGUCAGCCGGUUUGCAGGAAGAGGGUGUUAGCCACUUGCUGAGCCUUGAGCUGCUCAUAGCAUUUCUCCCUAAUUGUAACUGCGGUAAAUUUGCUGGAUUUCCAGAAAGGUAAAUUAUUCUGUGACGCUGAAGCAAAGACAGACAGUAUGGAAUCCAUGCAUGGAUUAGAGAACUAAAAAAACAAAACAAAGAAUAUAUACAAAAUCCAUAAACAGGGUCAAUAAACCAACAAAGUCUGUAAAAGACAAUCCAGGAGGUAAACAAUUCCAAUAAACACAAAAGAGAAAGCGUGUGGUUGAUAAACAUAAUAAACAUGGGAAAAUGUAGAUUAUGAAAUGCUUUGUAAUGUAAAACAAACACAAUACUUCGCAAAAUGAUAGUAGCAUGAGCAUUUGUUAAGUAGGCUAAAAACAGAAUGUGUCUCUUGAACUGGAAGAGCUAAAUAUUCAGGUGACAUUUCCCCCUGGUGGCAAAGCAGGAAAAUAGUAGCAGGAACUGUUACAACUGUGCAUGAUCGGAACCACAAUAAAGAAUACUUGACUUGAUUUUACUUAUUGUAAAACACUUUGGGUCAGCUUCUGUAGCAUUAAAUGUACACAAUAUAAAUAAUGGUUGAUUAUUAAAUGAAAUAUUAUUUAACUGAUUGUUUUCAGGUUGUUUGGUUGUAAGAUGGAGGAGAAGGAAACAUUCUAGAGU